UGGGAUGUUGGUAUGGUUCAA
This 21-nucleotide microRNA is filed under the name Malus domestica (apple). The record is from RNAcentral. Lineage: Eukaryota; Viridiplantae; Streptophyta; Magnoliopsida; Rosales; Rosaceae.